UCAAAAGGGGGCCUGCUUUUGAGGU
This 25-nucleotide non-coding RNA is filed under the name Rattus norvegicus (Norway rat). The record is from RNAcentral. Lineage: Eukaryota; Metazoa; Chordata; Mammalia; Rodentia; Muridae.